RNAcentral lists this long non-coding RNA (237 nucleotides) under Elaeis guineensis (African oil palm). RNAcentral describes it as "long non-coding RNA (EGUI_LNC025026)". The record is from RNAcentral. Lineage: Eukaryota; Viridiplantae; Streptophyta; Magnoliopsida; Arecales; Arecaceae.
GCGUCGAUAUUUAAUCGAUGGACAAUCACAUCAGGUGAGAUGUCCGCAUGUCUGAGGCAGAGCAGACGAAGGCAUCUGUGUUCUUUCUCAGAAAGUUGAUCAGCUUCUAUCUUGGUUCAUCACUUAAGGAAGAUCCGACCUGAACAGUUCUGGUCGGAUCCUCCUCAUUGAAGGGCACCGAGGUGAGUCAUUCUGUGGGUUCUCCUCGACUUUCUUUCUUUCUUUGAUCCAGUCCAU